GUAUUGGCCUACCGUGGCAAUGACGGGUAACGGGGAAUUAGGGUUCGAUUCCGGAGAGGGAGCCUGAGAAACGGCUACCACAUCUAAGGAAGGCAGCAGGCGCGCAAAUUACCCAAUCCUAAUACAGGGAGGUAGUGACAAGAAAUAACAAUACAGGACUUUUUGGUUUUGUAAUUGGAAUGAGUUAAGUAUAAACCCCUUUACAAGUAUCAAUUGGAGGGCAAGUCUGGUGCCAGCAGCCGCGGUAAUUCCAGCUCCAAUAGCGUAUAUUAAAGUUGUUGCAGUUAAAAAGCUCGUAGUUGGAUUUCUGUUAAUAAUUUAUAUAAAAUAUUUUGAUGAAUAUUUAUAUAAUAUUAACAUAAUUCAUAUUACUAUAUAUUUUAGUAUAUGAAAUUUUACUUUGAGAAAAUUAGAGUGCUUAAAGCAGGCAUAUGCCCUGAAUACUCCAGCAUGGAAUAAUAUUAAAGAUUUUUAUCUUUCUUAUUGGUUCUAAGAUAAGAAUAAUGAUUAAUAGGGACAGUUGGGGGCAUUUGUAUUUAA
RNAcentral lists this ribosomal RNA (540 nucleotides) under Cryptosporidium sp. GC-2015. Its description in RNAcentral is "SSU rRNA". It matches the Rfam family "Eukaryotic small subunit ribosomal RNA", at positions 333 to 901 of the family's 1831-position model. Lineage: Eukaryota; Apicomplexa; Conoidasida; Eucoccidiorida; Cryptosporidiidae. The record is from RNAcentral.